This 83-nucleotide microRNA precursor is filed under the name Ochotona princeps (American pika). Its description in RNAcentral is "miRNA (ENSOPRG00000023831.1)". The record is from RNAcentral. Lineage: Eukaryota; Metazoa; Chordata; Mammalia; Lagomorpha; Ochotonidae.
CACCAAUGACAGGGGCUCAGACUGCAGCCGUGCGUUUGAGAGGACCUGGGAAUCUGCAUUUCUGACAAGUUCCCAGGUGUUGC